AGAGUUUGAUCCUGGCUCAGGAUGAACGCUAGCGACAGGCUUAACACAUGCAAGUCGAGGGGCAGCACAGGUAGCAAUACCGGGUGGCGACCGGCGCACGGGUGAGUAACGCGUAUGCAACUUGCCUAUCAGAGGGGGAUAACCCGGCGAAAGUCGGACUAAUACCGCAUGAAGCAGGGGCCCCGCAUGGGGAUAUUUGCUAAAGAUUCAUCGCUGAUAGAUAGGCAUGCGUUCCAUUAGGCAGUUGGCGGGGUAACGGCCCACCAAACCGACGAUGGAUAGGGGUUCUGAGAGGAAGGUCCCCCACAUUGGUACUGAGACACGGACCAAACUCCUACGGGAGGCAGCAGUGAGGAAUAUUGGUCAAUGGGCGUAAGCCUGAACCAGCCAAGUCGCGUGAGGGAUGAAGGUUCUAUGGAUCGUAAACCUCUUUUAUAAGGGAAUAAAGUGCGGGACGUGUCCCGUUUUGUAUGUACCUUAUGAAUAAGGAUCGGCUAACUCCGUGCCAGCAGCCGCGGUAAUACGGAGGAUCCGAGCGUUAUCCGGAUUUAUUGGGUUUAAAGGGUGCGUAGGCGGCCUUUUAAGUCAGCGGUGAAAGUCUGUGGCUCAACCAUAGAAUUGCCGUUGAAACUGGGGGGCUUGAGUAUGUUUGAGGCAGGCGGAAUGCGUGGUGUAGCGGUGAAAUGCUUAGAUAUCACGCAGAACCCCGAUUGCGAAGGCAGCCUGCCAAGCCAUGACUGACGCUGAUGCACGAAAGCGUGGGGAUCAAACAGGAUUAGAUACCCUGGUAGUCCACGCAGUAAACGAUGAUCACUAGCUGUUUGCGAUACAGUGUAAGCGGCACAGCGAAAGCGUUAAGUGAUCCACCUGGGGAGUACGCCGGCAACGGUGAAACUCAAAGGAAUUGACGGGGGCCCGCACAAGCGGAGGAACAUGUGGUUUAAUUCGAUGAUACGCGAGGAACCUUACCCGGGUUUGAACGCAUUCGGACCGAGGUGGAAACACCUUUUCUAGCAAUAGCCGUUUGCGAGGUGCUGCAUGGUUGUCGUCAGCUCGUGCCGUGAGGUGUCGGCUUAAGUGCCAUAACGAGCGCAACCCUUGCCACUAGUUACUAACAGGUUAGGCUGAGGACUCUGGUGGGACUGCCAGCGUAAGCUGCGAGGAAGGCGGGGAUGACGUCAAAUCAGCACGGCCCUUACAUCCGGGGCGACACACGUGUUACAAUGGCGUGGACAAAGGGAAGCCACCUGGCGACAGGGAGCGAAUCCCCAAACCACGUCUCAGUUCGGAUCGGAGUCUGCAACCCGACUCCGUGAAGCUGGAUUCGCUAGUAAUCGCGCAUCAGCCAUGGCGCGGUGAAUACGUUCCCGGGCCUUGUACACACCGCCCGUCAAGCCAUGGGAGCCGGGGGUACCUGAAGUCCGUAACCGAAAGGAUCGGCCUAGGGUAAAACUGGUGACUGGGGCUAAGUCGUAACAAGGUAGCCGUACCGGAAGGUGCGGCUG
This 1505-nucleotide ribosomal RNA is filed under the name Parabacteroides distasonis. RNAcentral describes it as "bacterial SSU rRNA". It matches the Rfam family "Bacterial small subunit ribosomal RNA". Lineage: Bacteria; Pseudomonadati; Bacteroidota; Bacteroidia; Bacteroidales; Tannerellaceae. The record is from RNAcentral.